GUUGAUAAGGUUAAGUGAAUAAGGGCGCACGGUGGAUGCCUUGGCACUAGGAGCCGAUGAAGGACGGGACUAACACCGAUAUGCUUUGGGGAGCUGUACGUAAGCUAUGAUCCAGAGAUUUCCGAAUGGGGAAACCCAACAUCUUUUAUAGGAUGUUACGUUUGCGUGAAUACAUAGCGCAUUCGAGGUAGACGCAGAGAACUGAAACAUCUAAGUACCUGCAGGAAGAGAAAGAAAAUUCGAUUCCCUGAGUAGCGGCGAGCGAAACGGGAAAAGCCCAAACCAAUGAGCUUGCUCAUUGGGGUUGUAGGACUCCAAUAUGGUAGUUCUUUCAGAUAAUCGAAUGACUUGGAAAAGUCAGUCAAAGAGGGUAAAAACCCCGUAGAUGAAAUUUGGAAGGCACCUAGGAGGAUCCUGAGUACGGCGGAACACGAGGAAUUCCGUCGGAAUCCGGGAGGACCAUCUCCCAAGGCUAAAUACUCCCUAGUGACCGAUAGUGAACCAGUACCGUGAGGGAAAGGUGAAAAGCACCCCGGAAGGGGAGUGAAAUAGAACCUGAAACCGUGUGCCUACAACAAGUCAAAGCCCGUUAAUGGGUGAUGGCGUGCCUUUUGUAGAAUGAACCGGCGAGUUACGAUUGCAUGCGAGGUUAAGUCGAAGAGACGGAGCCGCAGCGAAAGCGAGUCUGAAUAGGGCGUUUGAGUAUGUAGUCGUAGACCCGAAACCAUGUGAUCUACCCAUGUCCAGGUUGAAGGUGCGGUAAAACGCACUGGAGGACCGAACCCACGUACGUUGAAAAGUGCGGGGAUGAGGUGUGGGUAGCGGAGAAAUUCCAAACGAACUUGGAGAUAGCUGGUUCUCUCCGAAAUAGCUUUAGGGCUAGCCUCGGAUUUGAGAAUGAUGGAGGUAGAGCACUGUUUGGACUAGGGGCCCAUCUCGGGUUACCGAAUUCAGAUAAACUCCGAAUGCCAUUCAUUCAUAUCCGGGAGUCAGACUGUGAGUGAUAAGAUCCAUAGUCGAAAGGGAAACAGCCCAGACCACCAGCUAAGGUCCCAAAAUAUAUGUUAAGUGGAAAAGGAUGUGGGGUUGCACAGACAACUAGGAUGUUGGCUCAGAAGCAGCCACCAUUUAAAGAGUGCGUAAUAGCUCACUAGUCGAGUGACCCUGCGCCGAAAAUGUACCGGGGCUAAACAUAUUACCGAAGCUGUGGAGUACACCAUUAGGUGUAUUGGUAGGAGAGCGUUCUAAGGGCGUUGAAGGCAGAUCGUGAGGACUGCUGGAGCGCUUAGAAGUGAGAAUGCCGGUAUGAGUAGCGAAAGACAGGUGAGAAUCCUGUCCACCGAAUGACUAAGGUUUCCUGGGGAAGGCUCGUCCGCCCAGGGUUAGUCGGGACCUAAGCCGAGGCCGACAGGCGUAGGCGAUGGACAACAGGUUGAUAUUCCUGUACUCGUUGUUUUUGUUUGAGCAAUGGAGGGACGCAGGAGGCUAAGGAAUGCAGACGAUUGGAAAUGUCUGUCCAAGCAGUAAGUCUUGAUAGGAGUCAAAUGCUUCUGUCUACACGGAUAAGCUGUGAUGGGGAGGGAAAUAAUAGUACCGAAGUUCCUGAUGUCACACUGCCAAGAAAAGCUUCUAGUGAGAAAACAAUGACCCGUACCGCAAACCGACACAGGUAGUCGAGGAGAGAAUCCUAAGGUGAGCGAGAGAACUCUCGUUAAGGAACUCGGCAAAAUGACCCCGUAACUUCGGGAGAAGGGGUGCUGAUCUUUGAUCAGCCGCAGUGAAUAGGCCCAAGCGACUGUUUAUCAAAAACACAGGUCUCUGCAAAAUCGUAAGAUGAAGUAUAGGGGCUGACGCCUGCCCGGUGCUGGAAGGUUAAGAGGAGUGCUUAGCGUAAGCGAAGGUACGAAUUGAAGCCCCAGUAAACGGCGGCCGUAACUAUAACGGUCCUAAGGUAGCGAAAUUCCUUGUCGGGUAAGUUCCG
This 1981-nucleotide ribosomal RNA is filed under the name Bacteroides fragilis. RNAcentral describes it as "partial 23S ribosomal RNA". It matches the Rfam family "Bacterial large subunit ribosomal RNA", at positions 1 to 1985 of the family's 2925-position model. The record is from RNAcentral. Lineage: Bacteria; Pseudomonadati; Bacteroidota; Bacteroidia; Bacteroidales; Bacteroidaceae.